AAGAAAGUAAAUAAGGGCACACGGGGGAUGCCUAGGCUCUCAGAGGCGAUGAAGGACGUGAUAAGCUGCGAUAAGCUACGGUGAUCGGCAAAUUCGAAUUGAUCCGUAGAUUUCCGAAUGGGGCAACCUAAUAUACUGAAGGUAUAUUGUAUAAUACGCGAACGCGCUGAACUGAAACAUCUAAGUAGGCGUAGGAGGAGAAAAUAAUAAUGAUUUCGUAAGUAGUGGCGAGCGAACACGAAAGAGCCCAAACCAAUCCUGUUACGGCAUGAUUGGGGUUGUAGGACCACGACAUUGUAUUGUCUGGAUGAACUGGAAGCAGGUGGGAAACUGCGCGAUAUGGGUGAUAGCCCCGUACAGGUAAAGAGAGACAGCAUAGUGGUAUCCUGAGUAGGGCGGGACCGGAGAAAUCCUGCUUGAAUCUGCCAGCACCAUCUGGUAAGGCUAAAUACUCCUGAGAGACCGAUAGUGAACUAGUACCGUGAGGGAAAGGUGAAAAGAACCCCGAACAGGGGAGUGAAAAGAACCUGAAACCGUGUGCUUACAAGCGGUCGGAGCGGACAAGUUCUGUGACGGCGUGCCUUUUGCAUAAUGAGCCUACGAGUUACUCUUGUCCGGCAAGGUUAAAUGAUUCAGUCAUGUAGCCGCAGCGAAAGCGAGUCUUAAUAGGGCGCACAGUCGGAUGAGGUAGACGCGAAACCUUGUGAUCUACCCUUGGGCAGGUUGAAGUUGCGGUAACACGUAAUGGAGGACCGAACCGUCAAACGUUGAAAAGUUUUCGGAUGACCUGAGGGUAGGGGUGAAAGGCCAAUCAAACUGGGAAAUAGCUCGUACUCCCCGAAAUGUUUUUAGGAACAGCGUGGAUUUUAGUCUAUUAGAGGUAGAGCUACCGAUUGGGUGCGGGGGAGUCAAAUCCUACCAAAUCCAGACGAACUCCGAAUGCUAUAUAGAUAUGAUCUGCAGUGAGGCUUUGGGUGCUAAGGUCCAAGGCCGAGAGGGAAAGAACCCAGACCAUCAGCUAAGGUCCCUAAAUAUACGCUAAGUUGAACUAACGAGGUCCGGUUGCCCAGACAGCUAGGAUGUUGGCUUGGAAGCAGCCAUUCAUUUAAAGAGUGCGUAACAGCUCACUAGUCGAGCGGCCGGGCGUGGAUAAUAAACGGGCAUCAAGUGUAUUACCGACGCUAUGGAUUCAUACAUUAAUUUGUAUGUCUGGUAGGGGAGCAUUCUAUUGGGGGUGAAUCCACAUGGUGAUGUGUGGUGGACUUAAUAGAAAAGCAAAUGUAGGCAUAAGUAACGAUAAGGCGGGUGAGAAACCCGCCCACCGAAAGACUAAGGUUUCCUGAUCAACGCUAAUCGGAUCAGGGUUAGUCGGGGCCUAAGGCGCAUCCGAACGGAGAAAGCCGAUGGACAACGGGUUAAUAUUCCCGUACUUUUAUUAACUGCGAUGUGGUGACGGAGUAGUGACACUGCCGCGAACUGACGGAAUAGUUCGUUGAAAGAUGUAGGUAUUGUUCGGGUAGGCAAAUCCGCCCUUACAGCUGAACUCUGAUAGUACAGCAAAGCUUCGGCAGCGCUGAUAGUGCAGGUAAUCAGACUUCCAAGAAAACCCGCUAAGCUUCAGGUUAAUAAAACCCGUACCGUAAACCGACACAGGUAGUCGAGGAGAGAAUCCUAAGGUGCUCGAGUGAUUCAUGGCUAAGGAACUCGGCAAAAUGGCCCUGUAACUUCGGGAGAAGGGGCGCUGUCUCUAGCGAUAGAGCAGCCGCAGUGAAAAGGCCCAGGCGACUGUUUAGCAAAAACAUAUGGCUUUGCGAAAUCGAAAGAUGAAGUAUAAGGCCUGACACCUGCCCGGUGCUGGAAGGUUAAGAGGGGAUGUCAUCGCAAGAGAAGCAUUGAAUCGAAGCCCCAGUAAACGGCGGCCGUAACUAUAACGGUCCUAAGGUAGCGAAAUUCCUUGUCGGGUAAGUUCCGACCUGCACGAAUGGUGUAACGAUCUGGGCGCUGUCUCAGCCAUGAGCUCGGUGAAAUUGUGGUCUCGGUGAAGACGCCGGGUACCCGCAACGGGACGGAAAGACCCCAUGCACCUUCACUAUAGCUUAACAUUGUGAUUGGGUACAGGAUGUGUAGGAUAGGCGGGAGAUAUUGAAGUGGCUUCGCCAGGAGUCAUGGAAUC
RNAcentral lists this ribosomal RNA (2173 nucleotides) under Sphingobacterium sp. UT-1RO-CII-1. Its description in RNAcentral is "partial 23S ribosomal RNA". It matches the Rfam family "Bacterial large subunit ribosomal RNA", at positions 1 to 2187 of the family's 2925-position model. The record is from RNAcentral. Lineage: Bacteria; Pseudomonadati; Bacteroidota; Sphingobacteriia; Sphingobacteriales; Sphingobacteriaceae.